RNAcentral lists this ribosomal RNA (207 nucleotides) under uncultured bacterium. Its description in RNAcentral is "partial 16S ribosomal RNA". It matches the Rfam family "Bacterial small subunit ribosomal RNA", at positions 568 to 774 of the family's 1533-position model. The record is from RNAcentral.
UGCGUAGGCGGCGGAGCAAGUCAGGUGUGAAAUCCCGGGGCUCAACCCUGGAACUGCACUUGAUACUGCUUUGCUAGAGUACUGGAGAGGAGAUUGGAAUUUACGGUGUAGCAGUGAAAUGCGUAGAUAUCGUAAGGAAGACCAGUGGCGAAGGCGAAUCUCUGGACAGUUACUGACGCUGAGGCACGAAGGCCGAGGGAGCAAACG